UACGUAUGGAGCGAGCGUUAUCCGGAUUCACUGGGUGUAAAGGGAGCGUAGGCGGCGCGCCAAGUCCGAUGUGAAAACCCGCGGCUCAACCGGGGGACUGCAUUGGAAACUGGCGAGCUAGAGUGUCGGAGGGGCAAGCGGAAUUCCUGGUGUAGCGGUGAAGUGCAUAGAUAUCAGGAGGAACACCGGCGGCGAAGGCGGCUUGCUGGACGACUACUGACGCUGAGACUCGAAAGCGUGGGGAGCAAAC
RNAcentral lists this ribosomal RNA (250 nucleotides) under uncultured prokaryote. RNAcentral's name for it is "partial 16S ribosomal RNA". It matches the Rfam family "Bacterial small subunit ribosomal RNA", at positions 524 to 773 of the family's 1533-position model. The record is from RNAcentral.